Molecule: non-coding RNA, 3001 nt
Organism: Peromyscus maniculatus bairdii (prairie deer mouse)
Lineage: Eukaryota; Metazoa; Chordata; Mammalia; Rodentia; Cricetidae
Source: RefSeq, a predicted model, not a curated record
CCUGUCUGGGAUAUCCGAGACUCUGUCUCAAAAAACAGAACAAACGUGAAGAAAAGGAAAGACAGAAAAAGGAAAUGCUGGAGAGGAGGACACAGGGCGGCCAGGGGGAGUGAGAGGCGGGAACUGUUGGUUCCUUCUCAGAUUUCUCUCCUCGAGAUGACACCCAGGCAUUACUGAUGAGAAGGGUGUCACAGAGAAGCUGAGACUGCUGGAGGACAGGCGGGGUAAUUGCAGCAGCAGAGUCUCCCUGAGAAGGGGUGGAUCGGAGUGUUAAUGACACCUGUAUCACAUAACCUGUGAGUCACUGGGGCCUAUAACCUGUGAGUCACUGGGGCCUGCACCUGACCUCGGGAAUCACCGUUCUGCAACUGUUGGGAGCCUCCAGACUACACUUUAACCUUUCUUUGAGAGGCCCUAAUCCGAAUUCCCCUUCAGGACCCAGAGGAAGAAGCCUGCUCGUAUAUCAAGUGAGAGCUGCCUGGCGACCUAGGCCCUGAUACUCGAGGCUCCUGAGGUGAAGUAGGUGGGGGCACGCCUGACUGACAUCUUGAAGGAAUCAUAGAACCAGUGUGGCUGGAGCUGAGUCAGCAAAGAAGCUUGAGUUGGACAGACAGACUUAACAAGAACAGCCUCACUGAGUCACCUGCCUCCACAGCUGGAGCCUCUCUGAGCACACCUUCCUGACCAUCAUGGAUUCUACCCUCCAGCUGUGAGCCAGAAGGAACUCUUUCUUCUUUCAGUUGCUUUUGUGAGGUAUUUUGUCACAACAGUGAGGAAAAGGAACUGCUUGGGAUUCCUGUUGGACAGCCAAGAGGAGGUGCCACAUCGGAAGCUGGUAUCUGGAGAGCCCUGGGCAGGGGUCCGGACUGGCAGUAGAAACUGGGUGGGGUCAAAUCAGAGUCCCGCGCUAGAUCAGCUGUUGGCUAGGGCGUUAAAAGAGAUGAGAAGACAUAUUUGGACUGAGCCCAGGAGCCCUCAGAACCUUUGGAAAUGGGGAAAUGGGAGUGAUUCUGUGAAGGGGAGCAUUGGAUAAGAAAGGGCAGAUCAUUCUGCUGAAGCCACCUUGUGUUUUUAGGGUCACUUCUCAAAAAGAGGAGGAGGAGGGAAAAACUCUUAAGUUGUGAAAAAUAUUUGUACCAACAAACAAAUACUCUAACAUUGAAAUUCAGACCAAGAAAGAUGUUAGGAUUAAGACAAAGGCUAGGGAUUUUAUGGUGAGAAAGAAUACAAAUUAAUGUGAAAAAUACUUAGACCCUAACAGGAAACAUACAAAGGAUAUGAACAGACAGUUCACAAAGAAGGAAGUAAAACUAGUAAACAAAGGUUUAGAAAACGUGUGACAUCAUCAACAAGGAGAGAAAUACAGAUUAAAACUACAAGAUGAUAUGUUUUCAACCAUUAAAUGAACAAAAGGCUUUUCAUGCCAGUUUACCCAGUAAUUCCAGUUCAGGGAAAUCUAAGAAACUAAGUAAAAAUGUGGAUGAAAAACUUGACCACAAUUUUAUCCACAAUUAUAGAAAAUAAUUCCAGUGCUAGCACUGAGAGACUAGCUUUGAAAAUUGUGGCAUAGUCAUACUAUUACCUGUGGUGAUUUGAAUGCAAAUGGUGGCCCCAUAGACUCACAUAUUUGAAUGCUUAGUCACCAGGGAGUGGCACUACUUGAGAAGGAUUAAAAGGAUCGAAGGUGUGGCCUUGCUGGAGUAGGUGUGGUCUUAAUGGAGAAAGUUUGUCACUGGGCUUUAAGGUUUCAAAGCCGAUGCCAGGCCCAGCUUUUCUCUCUCUCUCUGCCGGCCUGCUGGCCUGCAGAUGAGGACGAGAACUCUCAGGUACUGCUCCAGCGUGUGUGCUGCUGUGCUCCCCACCAUGAUGAUCAUGGACUAAGCCACUAACUGUAAACAAGCCCCCAAUUAAAUGCUUUCCUUUAUAAGACUUGCCUCAGCCAUAGUGGGUCUUCACAGCAGCAGAACAGUGACUUAAGACUUUACUAAAUUAUUAAUAUUAAACUACAGAGAUGUAUAAAAUAUCUAGGAAGAAUUUAUGGUAAUGGGAAAAUGUAUAUAUUGCGUUAAUCUGUAAGAAGGAUUGGGGUUGUGUAGAUGGCUCAGGUGCUAAGUGCCCAUCACAUAGCGUAAACACUCUCACUAGAGCCCACAUAGAACUAAAAAGCCAGGAGGAAAGGGAAAACCAGUACGUGUUUACCCAUAGUCACACAGGAAGGCAUUCUUUCCUGCAGGGCCCCUUUGUAGAGCCCUGUACUGAGUAUUGGGAGUACAGAGAUAACUCAGAAAGUUCUGCUCUGGGUCUAACUGAAAUUUGGAAACUGAUCUGCCUUUAGCCUCCCAAACCUGAACAUGCUGAUCUCAUCUGAAAAACUGUGCCUCAGAAGUAAAUAAUACAGUCUGAAAGAUGUGAAUAUAACGGGGGUCUAAAAAGAACACAGCAAAAUGAAGCUCAGUUUAAGGUGGCGGCUGGCUGCACAGCUGGGCCUCCCAUGUCCCUGCUCAUGUCUGCACCCUCUGCUGAGUUCUUGGAGAGCCCCCUAUAGGAAGGAAGGUGCCCUGAGGGCAGGAAGUCAAGGCUGGGGUGUGUGUGUAGGUCCAUGGUAUAGUUCUUACUGGAUAGGUUUGAGUAAGGUGCUAAGUCAGUGUUCUAUUGCUGUGAACAGACACCAUGACCAAGGCAACUCUUACAAAAGAAAGCAUUUGACUGGGGACUUGCUUACAGCUUUAGAGGGUUAGUCCAUGGUCAUCAUGGUGGGCAGCACACAGGCAUGGCGCUGGAGCAGUGGCUGAGAGCUUCACAUCCUGAUCUGCAGGCAGCAGGUAGAGAGAACCUCUGGGCCUGGUAGAGGCUUUUGAAACCUCUAGGGCCACCCCCAGUGACACACCUUCUCCAACAAGGGCACAGCCACUCCUUCCCAAACAGCUCAUGGGGCGUAAGCACACAUAUAAGUGUGCCUGUGGGGGCCGUUCUCAUUCAAACCACCACAAAGGCCUGAGUA